GAUGAACGCUGGCGGCGUGCCUAAUACAUGCAAGUCGAGCGAACGGACGAGAAGCUUGCUUUUCUGAUGUUAGCGGCGGACGGGUGAGUAGCACGUGGAUAACCUACCUAUAAGACUGGGAUAACCUCGGGAAACCGGAGCUAAUACCGGAUAAUAUUUUGAACCGCAUGGUUCAAAAGUGAAAGACGGUCUUGCUGUCACUUAUAGAUGGAUCCGCGCUGCAUUAGCUAGUUGGUAAGGUAACGGCUUACCAAGGCAACGAUGCAUAGCCGACCUGAGAGGGUGAUCGGCCACACUGGAACUGAGACACGGUCCAGACUCCUACGGGAGGCAGCAGUAGGGAAUCUUCCGCAAUGGGCGAAAGCCUGACGGAGCAACGCCGCGUGAGUGAUGAAGGUCUUCGGAUCGUAAAACUCUGUUAUUAGGGAAGAACAUAUGUGUAAGUAACUGUGCACAUCUUGACGGUACCUAAUCAGAAAGCCACGGCUAACUACGUG
This 497-nucleotide ribosomal RNA is filed under the name uncultured bacterium. RNAcentral describes it as "partial 16S ribosomal RNA". It matches the Rfam family "Bacterial small subunit ribosomal RNA", at positions 28 to 507 of the family's 1533-position model. The record is from RNAcentral.